This 1439-nucleotide long non-coding RNA is filed under the name Cyanistes caeruleus (blue tit). Its description in RNAcentral is "lncRNA (ENSCCEG00000004510.1)". Lineage: Eukaryota; Metazoa; Chordata; Aves; Passeriformes; Paridae. The record is from RNAcentral.
CUGGGUGGGUUUGAGGGGGUUUUGGGGUGUUUCGGGCGGAUUUUGGGGUGUUUCGGGGGGGGUUUUGGUGUUUUUGGGGUGUUUCGAGUGGAUUUUGGGCUGUUUUUGGUGUUUUUGGUGUUUUUGGGGUGUCCCGGGUGAGUUUCGGGGUCCCCAAUCCCGUUUCCCCCCAGCUGAGCGAGCUUUGGGAGGAGCAGCUGCAUUUGGGGGCUCGGGGACCCCUCCCCAGCACGGGCAGUUAUUACCUCAUGGACCUCCUGGGGCCGCCGCCCACGCGGGUCCCGGCCGCUCGCGCCGCCAACGUCGCCUUCGGCUUCCUGCGCUUCCGGAGCCGCGUGCGCGCGGGGAGCCUGCCCCCGGUGAGCCCGGAUCGGGGCAAAAACGGGGAGUUUGGGGAAAAAAUGGGUUAAAAACGGGGAGUUUGGGCAAAAAGGGGUGAAAAACAGGGAGUUUGGGUUAAAAACGGGGUGAAAAAUGGGGAGUUUGGGUAAAAACGGGGAAUUUGGGUUAAAAAUGGGUUAUAAACGGGGAGUUUGGGCAAAAAGGGGUGAAAAACGGGGAGUUUGGGCAAAAAACGGGGAGUUUGGGUAAAAACGGGGGGAAAACGGGGAGUUUGGGGUUAAAAACCGGUUAAAAAUGGGGAGUUUGGGGUUAAAAACCGGUUAAAAAUGGGGAGUUUGGGUAAAAAAUGGGUGAAAAACGGGGAGUUUGGGUAAAAACGGGGGAAAAAUGGGGAGUUUGGGUAAAAAACGGGUGAAAAAUGGGGAGUUUGGGUAAAAAACGGGGAGUUUGGGUUAAAAACGGGUGAAAAACGGGGAGUUUGGGUAAAAAGAGGUGAAAAACGGGGAGUUUGGGUAAAAAGAGGUGAAAAACGGGGAGUUUGGGUAAAAAGGGGUGAAAAACGGGGAGUUUGGGUAAAAAAUGGGGAGUUUGGGCAAAAAAUGGGUUAAAAAUGGGGAGUUUGGGUAAAAAACGGGUUAAAAACGGGGAAUUGGGGGUAAAAACGGGUGAAAAACGGGGAAUUUGGGUAAAAAACGGGUGAAAAACGGGGAAUUGGGGUAAAAAACGGGGAGUUUGGGUUAAAAAUGGGUUAAAAACGGGGAAUUGGGGUAAAAAAUGGGGAAUUUGGGUUGAAAACGGGCAAUUGGGGGUAAAAAUGGGUUAAAAACGGGGAAUUUGGGUAAAAAACGGGUUAAAAACGGGGAAUUUGGGGUUAAAAAUGGGGAAUUGGGGUUAAAAACGGGGAAUUUGGGCAAAAACGGGGAAAUUUGGGGAAAAAAGGGGAAAUUUGGGGUUAAAAUGGGAAAUUUUGGGAAAAAAGAGGAAAGAUUUGGGUUAAAAAUGGGGAAUUUCGGGUUAAAAUGGGAAAAUUUGGGGUUAAAAAGGGGAAAUUUGGAUUAAAAUGGGAAAAUUCGGGGUUGAAAGGGGAAUUUUGGGGU